CCGCGUCUGCCCGCGCGUCGCCCGCUAUUCACUGUGCGUGCGUGCGUGCCUGUGUUUCUGACAUGGGAUUGCCAACUCUCAGGUGUGGAUCCGAGUGUGGCAGUGGAUUGUCUCCGAACAAGCUCAACUAGUGGUGCUGAUUAGUGACUGUUUGUUGGAAUGAAGUGGAUCUAAUCAUCGUA
Homalodisca vitripennis (glassy-winged sharpshooter) is the source of this 182-nucleotide long non-coding RNA. RefSeq lists it as uncharacterized. The record is from RefSeq and is a predicted model, not a curated record. NCBI's taxonomy places the organism in Eukaryota, Metazoa, Arthropoda, Insecta, Hemiptera, Cicadellidae. The transcript is spliced from 3 exons.